Molecule: non-coding RNA, 181 nt
Organism: Peptococcaceae bacterium 1109
Lineage: Bacteria; Bacillati; Bacillota; Clostridia; Eubacteriales; Peptococcaceae
Source: Rfam
AACAGAAUAGCACAGAGGCCGUAGACAGCAGGUGUACACUAGUACCGAAGGAGAGCAAUCUCGCCCGCCGAGGUCGGAGAAGAGUAGAGAUGACUGUGUUCGCUGCCGAACCAGUCAGCCUCCAUGUUCAGCUUAUUUGAGAUCUCCGCCCUGUCUGCGGAGGUCUUUUUUGUUGUAGAAA